CCCUUAGAUGUUCUGGGCCGCACGCGCGCUACACUGACGAUGGCAACGAGUUUUUCCUUCGCCGAAAGGUGUGGGUAAUCUUUUGAAACAUCGUCGUGCUGGGGAUAGAUCAUUGCAAUUUUUGAUCUUGAACGAGGAAUUCCUAGUAAGCGCGAGUCAUCAGCUCGCGUUGAUUACGUCCCUGCCCUUUGUACACACCGCCCGUCGCUACUACCGAUUGAAUGGUUUAGUGAGGACUCCUGAUUGGCGCCGCCGCCCCGGCAACGGAGCAGCGGACUGCCGAAAAGUUGUUCAAACUUUAUCAUUUAGAGGAAGUAAAAGUCGUAACA
This 329-nucleotide ribosomal RNA is filed under the name uncultured eukaryote. RNAcentral describes it as "partial 18S ribosomal RNA". It matches the Rfam family "Eukaryotic small subunit ribosomal RNA", at positions 1470 to 1796 of the family's 1831-position model. The record is from RNAcentral.